UCAUCAGGCAUUAGAGUCUCAUAAGGAGCA
Molecule: non-coding RNA, 30 nt
Filed under: Homo sapiens (human)
Lineage: Eukaryota; Metazoa; Chordata; Mammalia; Primates; Hominidae
Source: RNAcentral